GGCGGCACGCCUAACACAUGCAAGUCGAACGAAGUAGCAAUACUUAGUGGCAGACGGGUGAGUAACAUGUAGGUAUCUACCCUUUGGCCUGGAAUAACACGAGGAAACUUGUGCUAAUACCGGAUAAGUCUUUACGGAGAAAGCUUUAUGCACCAUUGGAUGAGCCUGCACUUGAUUAGUUUGUUGGUGGGGUAAUGGCCUACCAAGACUGUGAUCAAUAGCUGAUUUGAGAGGAUGAUCAGCCACAUUGGGACUGAGACACGGCCCAAACUCCUACGGGAGGCAGCAGUGGGGAAUCUUGCACAAUGGAGGAAACUCUGAUGCAGCGAUGCCGCGUGAGUGAAGAAGGCCUUUGGGUUGUAAAGCUCUUUCGUCGGGGAAGAAAAUGACUGUACCCGAAUAAGAAGGUCCGGCUAACUUCGUGCCAGCAGCCGCGGUAAUACGAAGGGACCUAGCGUAGUUCGGAAUUACUGGGCUUAAAGAGUUCGUAGGUGGUUGAAAAAGUUGGUGGUGAAAUCCCAGAGCUUAACUCUGGAACUGCCAUCAAAACUUUUCAGCUAGAGUAUGAUA
RNAcentral lists this ribosomal RNA (570 nucleotides) under uncultured bacterium. RNAcentral's name for it is "bacterial SSU rRNA". It matches the Rfam family "Bacterial small subunit ribosomal RNA", at positions 38 to 653 of the family's 1533-position model. The record is from RNAcentral.